GCGAACGCUGGCGGCAGGCCUAACACCUGCAAGUCGAACGAACCUUUCGGGGUUAGUGGCGGACGGGUGAGUAACACGUGGGAACGUGCCUUUAGGUUCGGAAUAACUCAGGGAAACUUGUGCUAAUACCGAAUGUGCCCUUCGGGGGAAAGAUUAAUCGCCUUUAGAGCGGCCCGCGUCUGAUUAGCUAGUUGGUUGAGGUAAUGGCUCACCAAGGCGACGAUCAGUAGCUGGUCUGAGAGGAUGAUCAGCCACAUUGGGACUGAGACACGGCCCAAACUCCUACGGGAGGCAGCAGUGGGGAAUCUUGCGCAAUGGGCGAAAGCCUGACGCAGCCAUGCCGCGUGAAUGAUGAAGGUCUUAGGAUUGUAAAAUUCUUUCACCGGGGACGAUAAUGACGGUACCCGGAGAAGAAGCCCCGGCUAACUUCGUG
RNAcentral lists this ribosomal RNA (433 nucleotides) under uncultured bacterium. RNAcentral describes it as "partial 16S ribosomal RNA". It matches the Rfam family "Bacterial small subunit ribosomal RNA", at positions 29 to 507 of the family's 1533-position model. The record is from RNAcentral.